UGAAGGAAAUGCGACAGCGGAACGUCCUAGGGCCCCGGGGGCUUGCUAGAGAGACUGCAGGUGGAAACAGACCAGGGCCAGGCCACCUGUAAGGAUGGACCUGUACCCACGCCCUGCGGCCGCCCCCUACCCGCGACUGCCGGCGCACGAGCCCGGCCCCCCACCUGCAGCGACCGGCCGGGAAGCCAGCGUGCCACAAGUCAGAGUUGCAGGAAGUCAGACCAGCAUCUCCAGCAACUGGUCCAGGAGGCCGCACAACCACCCCGUGACACUCAGCCCCAGAUGGCCAGAACGUGAUCAGUAACUGACAGCUUCCCCAAUUUCUGUCCUUCCUUCCAACUUGGGACCAACCAGAGAAAGCCAAAAUGCUCCCCUAACCAAUCGCGAGGACACCCCGCUUCCAGAUCCCCACCUCCAGCAUCCGCCAUGGCCCCAUCCGGACAACCCUGAGCCCCCGUUUCUUUCCGCUGAAGUCUCUGCUCCUCCGCCUACCUUUGGGUUUCUGCCAUCACAAGUGUCGACCCCGCCUGCUACAGUGCGCCCUGAGUAGCAGCCUCUGCUGUUUUCACCUGGGGGGUCCUUGUUUCCAUUCUAGCCUGGUUUUCCCUCCCCACGUGGAGCCCUCUCCAACUCCCAGCAAAUUCCAUCACUCAGAGGACCCCAUGCAAGGGAGGCCUGACUUCCUGCAGCAUCCGUGUAAACCCGCCUUUGAGAAGGUUAUCAUGUUGGGGGAGGGGGGCAGGUACAUCUGCCGGGGAAGCCCAAGGAGCCCCAGGUCAGAGCUGGAGGGGGCAAGUGGGAAGGAAAACUCCGUGACUUGAAGAUCUGCUCCACUUGGCCCAGCCGAGCUCAGGUGCCCUGCCCUGAGAAAACAGCACUGGUAUCAGGACAGUGGGCAGCACACUUUUUUGCUCCUGUAGCCCCUGAAAGAAUUUUGAAAACUACUCCUUCCACAUUUCAAGUAGACACCUAAGUUUCUCCUCGUAAAUGUAAACAGUUGCAAAGGAUGCUGUUUCUGGCAUACUGUUGUUACGGAACCAGGUUUGUUUCGCCCGCCACCCGGUAGGUCAAUCACUAAGACGAGUUUACAGCAGAGAAGGGGUUUAUUCACAAGGCAGCCAAGCAAGGAGUCUCAAAUCCUCCUCCCCAAAAAUAGGGAUUAGGGAUAUUUAGGGGAUGAAGGGCGGGCGGUCUGAAGUGUGGAGAUAGAUGAUUGGAAGUAUGAGAAGUGAGGUAAUUGAUGAUCUGCGCAGGCGUAGUCAGACUCCACGCCUCUUCAUAGGACACAUGUUCACACAAUGGUGGCAUAGGCUGAUCUGAGAUUCGGCCCCCUGACGUCAAAGGGGCACCUAUCAGACAUUCUCUGGGGCCCAGUUGAUGAGUCAGUGGUCCUAAUUGGCCUGAACUGGACAAGGAGUCCACUCGGUUCCUGAAAAACAGCUUAAGCACCCGUUGCCGUGCGGACCCAAGCAUCAGAGAUGUCAUCUAUAGGGUGGGCUUUUUUUUUUUUGAGGAAGACUGGCCCUGAGUUAACAUCCAUGCCCAUCUUCCUCUACUUUAUACGUGGGAUGCCUGCCACAGCAUGGCGUGCCAAGCGGUGCCAUAUCUGCACCCAGGAUCUGAACCGGCGAACCCCUGGCCGCUGAAGCGGAACGUGCGCACUUAACCGCUGCGCCACCAGGCCAGCCCCAGGGUGGGCUUUAUAGGGCAUUCUCUGACUGCUUUUGCAAACGGACAACUGACUGAAUCUAGUUAAAGCAGGUUGGCUCCCAUUUCACUGAAGAUCAGCCCUGAGCUAACAUCUGCUGCCGAUCCUCCUCUUUUUGCUGAGGAAGACUGGCCCUGAGCUAACAUCUGUGCCCAUCUUCCUCUACUUUCUAUGUGCAGGGAAGGAGAAGAAAAUGGCUUGGGGCAAACAGAAUACACUGCCGUCAGCUCCACAUUGGACCAGAUUGACUCCUGCUUGGACCACCUGGAGAACAGCCACCUCCACGCCCACCUCCAGAGUUGCUUAAGUCCAACUGGCAGACAUGCCUUGAGUCCAGCAGCAGCCUGGGGAGGCCCCCAGUGAUGCCAGCCCCUAGGAUCCUGGAGCCCCCGGCCAGGCUCCAGCCCUGCCUCCCUGGCCAGGCUCUAGCCUGGGCACUCACUGCCUGGCUUGCAUACCUUCUCAAGACCAGGCCUGCAGGUGCCCUGGUGGAUCUGCCUGUCUGGGCCACCCUUCUGGUAUUCUCAUACUCCCUUUGG
Molecule: long non-coding RNA, 2247 nt
Filed under: Equus asinus (donkey)
Lineage: Eukaryota; Metazoa; Chordata; Mammalia; Perissodactyla; Equidae
Description: lncRNA (ENSEASG00005033705.1)
Source: RNAcentral